RNAcentral lists this small RNA (124 nucleotides) under Leclercia adecarboxylata. Its description in RNAcentral is "RtT sRNA". It matches the Rfam family "RtT RNA". Rfam says of the family: This family represents a bacterial cis-regulatory element known as RtT RNA. The exact function of RtT is unknown although it is thought that it may be involved in changing the cellular response in relation to amino acid starvation. Lineage: Bacteria; Pseudomonadati; Pseudomonadota; Gammaproteobacteria; Enterobacterales; Enterobacteriaceae. The record is from RNAcentral.
UUGCUAUCUGCGAUAUGAACGAUUCGAACCUGCAGCAGGUUCGCACCGAACGUAGUGAGGCACCGGAGCCGUCAGGCGACGGCCCGAAGGGCAAGCGAAGCGAGUCAUCCUGCACGACCCACCA